AUGGAUAAAAAUGAGCUGGUGCAGAAGGCCAACUGGCCGAGCAGGCUGAGCAAUAUGAAGACAUGGCAGCCUGCAUGAAGUCUGUAACUGAGCAAGGAGCCGAAUUAUCCAAUGAGGAGAGGAAUCUUCUCUCAGUUGCUUAUAAAAAUGUUGUAGGAGCCUGUAGGUCAUCUUGGAGGGUCGUCUCAAGUAUUGAGCAAAAGAUGGAAGGUGCUGAGAAAAAACAGCAGAUGGCUCGAGAAUACAGAGAGAAAAUUGAGACCGAGCUAAGAGAUAUCUGCAAUGAUGUACUGUCUCUUUUGGAAAAGUUUUUGAUCCCCAGUGCUUCACAAGCAGAGAGCAAAGUCUUCUAUUUGAAAAUGAAAGGAGACUACUACCAUUACUUGGCCGGGGUUGCUGCUGGUGAUGACAAGAAAGAGAUUGUGGAUCAGUCACAACAAGCAUACCAAGAAGCUUUUGAAAUCAGCAAAAAGGAAAUGCAACCAACACAUCCUAUUAGAUUGGGUCUGGCCCUUAACUUCUCUGUGUUCUAUUACAAAAUUCUGAACUUCCCGGAGAAAGCUUGCUCUCUUGCAAAGACAGCUUUUGAUGAAGCCAUUGCUGAACUUGAUACAUUAAGUGAAGAGUCCUACAAAGACAGCACGCUAAUAAUGCAAUUACUGAGAGACAACUUGACAUUGUGGAUAUCGGACACCCAAGGAGAUGAAGCUGAAGCAGGAGAAGGAGGGGAAAAUUAACCGGCCUUCCAACUUUUGUCUGCCUCAUUCUAAAAUUUACACAGUAGACCAUUUGUCAUCCAUGCUGUCCCACAAAUAGUUUUUUGUUUACGGUUUAUGACAGGUUUAUGUUACUUCUAUUUGAAUUUCUGUAUUUCCCAUGUGGUUUUUAUGUUGAAUAUUAGGGGAGUGGAGCCAGUUAACAUUUAGGGAGUUAUCUGUUUUCAUCUUGAGGUGGCCAAUAUGGGGAUGUGGAAUUUUUAUACUAGUUAUAAAUGUUUGGCAUAGUACUUUUGGUACAUUGUGGCUUCACAAGGGCCAGUGUUAAAACUGCUUCCAUGUCUAAGCAAAGAAAACUGCCUACAUAUUGGUUUGUCCUGGUGGGGAAUAAAAGGGAUACUUGGUUCCAGA
Non-coding RNA from Leptonychotes weddellii (Weddell seal), 1127 nucleotides. NCBI's taxonomy places the organism in Eukaryota, Metazoa, Chordata, Mammalia, Carnivora, Phocidae. The record is from RefSeq and is a predicted model, not a curated record.